GACAGGAGAUUUGGGCGGGGUCGCACAUCCAAACCGUAUCCCCACUUGUUUCCCACCAAAUGGUCUGCCCUUAGCCAGUCCCUCUGACUUUCUCAGUAAGAAAGUGCGAACUGAGGUGCCUGAGUGGCAGAGCUGGGAUUGGAAAGCAACGUAGUGGAUCCCAGAGUCAACAUUCCGUUUUUGCGGGGUGGGGGUUGGAGGAGUUGGGAGGUCUUACUAUAUUGCCCAGGCUGGUCUCGAAUUCCCAUAGGCUCAAGCGAUCCUCCCGAGUGCGGAGAUUACAGGGUCACCACCUCCCUCAGACGUUUCUGGGACAGAUCCAAGCCAGCAGAGCAGCUGCUCGCUCCAGAGCCGUGGUGUCUUCCUGGUGCAUCAGCGCCACCGCGUGGCAAAACAGGGCAACUGUAGGAAUCGACUUUCCAUCUAUUUGGAGCUCAUCAGUGCUUUUCUUUUAGACUCAUAUGGCAGGAACAAGAAGUGCACAUGCCAAAAGAAAGGCAGAGGACUGCAGGAGCAAGACGGGUUGCAAGGGGCGUG
RNAcentral lists this long non-coding RNA (537 nucleotides) under Homo sapiens (human). RNAcentral describes it as "HSALNT0374630". The record is from RNAcentral. Lineage: Eukaryota; Metazoa; Chordata; Mammalia; Primates; Hominidae.